Molecule: ribosomal RNA, 274 nt
Filed under: uncultured bacterium
Lineage: Bacteria
Description: partial 16S ribosomal RNA
Rfam family: Bacterial small subunit ribosomal RNA
Source: RNAcentral
AUACGGAGGGUGCAAGCGUUACUCGGAACCACAGGGCGUAAAGCGCGCGCAGGCGGCUUGAUAAGUUGGAUGUGAAAGCCUACGGCUCAACCGUAGAACUGCAUCCAAAACUAUUAGACUAGAGUGUGGGAGAGGAAGAUGGAAUUAGUUGUGUAGGGGUAAAAUCCGUAGAGAUAACUAGGAAUACCAAAAGCGAAGGCAACCUUCUGGAACACUACUGACGCUGAGGCGCGAAAGCGUGGGGAGCAAACAGGAUUAGAAACCCCAGUAGUCC